RNAcentral lists this transfer-messenger RNA (333 nucleotides) under Dechloromonas hankyongensis. It matches the Rfam family "Betaproteobacteria transfer-messenger RNA". Rfam says of the family: Bacterial tmRNA, also known as 10Sa RNA or SsrA, is named for its dual tRNA and mRNA-like properties. Its role is to liberate the mRNA from a stalled ribosome. To accomplish this part of the tmRNA is used as a reading frame that ends in a translation stop signal. Lineage: Bacteria; Pseudomonadati; Pseudomonadota; Betaproteobacteria; Rhodocyclales; Azonexaceae. The record is from RNAcentral.
CUAUCCUGCCCGGCUUGAAAAUCCCCCACCCCGCCCCCAUAAUUGAAAGCAUGGUUGUAAUUCCGGCAAUCUGGAGGCGUUCUGGACAGGGGUUCGAUUCCCCUCACCUCCACCCAAGGGCAUUCCGCUGAGUGCGUUUGGAUGGGGGUGUACUGGCUUCGACAGGGCGGGCAAAGGUGCGCAGGCAACUCGUCAGGCGAUCGACGUUAAUGAAGCAAACUCCAUAAUUGCCAAUGAUGAGCAAUUCGCUAUUGCCGCCUAAAAACGGUUAGCCGGGGCUGCUAGAGCCUUGUUACCAAAGAUAGCCGGCGGGGACUUCGGUCCCCGUCGUCA